UGAAAAUAUGAAACACUUUAGAAUUUGCAUGUCAUCCUUUCCAAGUGGCUGUGCUAAUUUUCUCUGUAUUGUUCCAAUUUUAGAAUAUGUGCUGUCAAAAUGAGCAC
RNAcentral lists this small nuclear RNA (107 nucleotides) under Cricetulus griseus (Chinese hamster). Lineage: Eukaryota; Metazoa; Chordata; Mammalia; Rodentia; Cricetidae. The record is from RNAcentral.